This 559-nucleotide ribosomal RNA is filed under the name Massilia agri. Its description in RNAcentral is "bacterial SSU rRNA". It matches the Rfam family "Bacterial small subunit ribosomal RNA", at positions 328 to 882 of the family's 1533-position model. The record is from RNAcentral. Lineage: Bacteria; Pseudomonadati; Pseudomonadota; Betaproteobacteria; Burkholderiales; Oxalobacteraceae.
UGGGGGGCCUUUCGGGAGGCAGCAGUGGGGAAUUUUGGACAAUGGGCGCAAGCCUGAUCCAGCAAUGCCGCGUGAGUGAAGAAGGCCUUCGGGUUGUAAAGCUCUUUUGUCAGGGAAGAAACGGCUGCAGCUAAUAUCUGGGGCUAAUGACGGUACCUGAAGAAUAAGCACCGGCUAACUACGUGCCAGCAGCCGCGGUAAUACGUAGGGUGCAAGCGUUAAUCGGAAUUACUGGGCGUAAAGCGUGCGCAGGCGGUUUUGUAAGUCUGACGUGAAAGCCCCGGGCUCAACCUGGGAAUUGCGUUGGAGACUGCAAGGCUUGAAUCUGGCAGAGGGGGGUAGAAUUCCACGUGUAGCAGUGAAAUGCGUAGAGAUGUGGAGGAACACCGAUGGCGAAGGCAGCCCCCUGGGUCAAGAUUGACGCUCAUGCACGAAAGCGUGGGGAGCAAACAGGAUUAGAUACCCUGGUAGUCCACGCCCUAAACGAUGUCUACUAGUUGUCGGGUUUUAAUUAACUUGGUAACGCAGCUAACGCGUGAAGUAGACCGCGUGGAGUCUG